GUCUGUGUCUAUUACACUGAGGACCCACCUGUUCCCAUUCCGAACACAGAAGUUAAGCUCAGCUGUGCUGAAAAUACUUGGCGGGAAGCUGCCUGGGAAGAUAAGUCGGCGCAGACA
This 117-nucleotide ribosomal RNA is filed under the name Eubacterium sp. Lineage: Bacteria; Bacillati; Bacillota; Clostridia; Eubacteriales; Eubacteriaceae. The record is from RNAcentral. RNAcentral also lists the same sequence under 1 other name.